Molecule: ribosomal RNA, 570 nt
Filed under: Stenocarpella maydis
Lineage: Eukaryota; Fungi; Ascomycota; Sordariomycetes; Diaporthales; Diaporthaceae
Description: eukaryotic LSU rRNA
Rfam family: Eukaryotic large subunit ribosomal RNA
Source: RNAcentral
UUGACCUCGGAUCAGGUAGGAAUACCCGCUGAACUUAAGCAUAUCAAUAAGCGGAGGAAAAGAAACCAACAGGGAUUGCCCUAGUAACGGCGAGUGAAGCGGCAACAGCUCAAAUUUGAAAUCUGGCCUCGGCCCGAGUUGUAAUUUGCAGAGGAUGCUUCUGGCGCGGUGCCUUCCGAGUUCCCUGGAACGGGACGCCACAGAGGGUGAGAGCCCCGUAUGGUCGGACACCAAGCCUGUGUGAAGCUCCUUCGACGAGUCGAGUAGUUUGGGAAUGCUGCUCUAAAUGGGAGGUAAAUCUCUUCUAAAGCUAAAUACCGGCCAGAGACCGAUAGCGCACAAGUAGAGUGAUCGAAAGAUGAAAAGCACCUUGAAAAGGGGGUUAAAUAGUACGUGAAAUUGUUGAAAGGGAAGCACUUGUGACCAGACUUGGGCCGGGCGGCUCAUCAGGGGUUCUCCCCUGUGCACUCCGCCCGGCACAGGCCAGCAUCGGUUUUCGCGGGGGGACAAGACCGCCGGGAACGUAGCACCCUCCGGGGUGUGUUAUAGCCCGGCGGACGAUACCCCCGC